CACUCCUACGGGAGGCAGCAGUGGGGAAUAUUGCACAAUGGGCGCAAGCCUGAUGCAGCCAUGCCGCGUGUAUGAAGAAGGCCUUCGGGUUGUAAAGUACUUUCAGCGGGGAGGAAGGCGAUAAGGUUAAUAACCUUGUCGAUUGACGUUACCCGCAGAAGAAGCACCGGCUAACUCCGUGCCAGCAGCCGCGGUGAUACGGAGGGUGCAAGCGUUAAUCGGAAUUACUGGGCGUAAAGCGCACGCAGGCGGUCUGUCAAGUCGGAUGUGAAAUCCCCGGGCUCAACCUGGGAACUGCAUUCGAAACUGGCAGGCUAGAGUCUUGUAGAGGGGGGUAGAAUUCCAGGUGUAGCGGUGAAAUGCGUAGAGAUCUGGAGGAAUACCGGUGGCGAAGGCGGCCCCCUGGACAAAGACUGACGCUCAGGUGCGAAAGCGUGGGGAGCAAACAGGAUUAGAUACCCCGGUAGUCCCAUGA
Molecule: ribosomal RNA, 475 nt
Filed under: uncultured organism
Description: partial 16S ribosomal RNA
Rfam family: Bacterial small subunit ribosomal RNA
Source: RNAcentral